RNAcentral lists this ribosomal RNA (374 nucleotides) under uncultured bacterium. RNAcentral describes it as "bacterial SSU rRNA". It matches the Rfam family "Bacterial small subunit ribosomal RNA", at positions 28 to 407 of the family's 1533-position model. The record is from RNAcentral.
GACGAACGCUGGCGGCGUGCUUAACACAUGCAAGUCGAGCGGAAAGGCCCUUCGGGGUACUCGAGCGGCGAACGGGUGAGUAACACGUGAGUAACCUGCCCUUGGCUCUGGGAUAGCUCCGGGAAACCGGAAUUAAUACCGGAUAUGACCUCGGCCGACAUCGGCUGUGGUGGAAAGAUUUAUCGGCCGGGGAUGGGCUCGCGGCCUAUCAGCUAGUUGGUGGGGUAACGGCCUACCAAGGCGACGACGGGUAGCCGGCCUGAGAGGCGACCGGCCACACUGGGACUGAGACACGGCCCAGACUCCUACGGGAGGCAGCAGUGGGGAAUAUUGCGCAAUGGGCGAAAGCCUGACGCAGCGACGCCGCGUGGGGA